CAGAAUUCUUCCUGCAAUGAGACAUCAUGAACUCAAGCUUCAUUAAAUCCCAAAAAGAGAGAAACCUCUUCAUAUUGAGAGUUACAUGUCUUGUUCAGUUGAUCAUCUAAAGGAAGCUGAGGGUCAAAUAUGGAUAUAAUGUAUUUACAUCCAGAGAUGUUAAUACUGCGUGGCCCUAUGCUCUAUUCAAGGAAUAAUACAGUCAACAAUAAACUAAAAAGCACCAGUUAUCAAAACCACAGACAUGUGAAAACAGCAACGAAGCAUGGAAGUGCACUUAGUCCACUGAAGCUGCUCUGUCACACACUCAGACAUCUGUCCAGUGAAGCAUAACUCUGUUGCCAGGCUGGGCUAAUGGACAUAAUUCUAUAACUACGAGACAUGGAGGAGAGUCUGUGCUGAUAAAAAAGCAGAAUAAACAAAGAAUAAUAAGCUUUAACCCUGGUAAUGACAGCUCGCAACAGUUUCGCCAUGAAAGGAGAUAUAUAAACUGGCUGUGUCUGGGCUAUGCCUGGAGAAAUGGGUGCUUCUCAAUCUAAAUUCCUCCUAAAAGAAGCUCUGAGUUCAGCAGACCUACCACUUUGAUAAAGGAGACACAAGAAGAAAAGAGAAUAUAUUUCACAGAAGAGGAGGCUGGAGUGAGAACUGUGCAGGAGAAAGUCCCUUCAGAAUAACAGUAUGUAUAAGCCUUAUCUCUGGUUAUGGUAAUAACAUAGAAAUAUGUCAAAAAAAUCUUAAGUCAGGACUCAAGACUGGAAGAAUUAUAAAAACACUGGAAACUUUGUAACUUUCACAUAUAUAACAUAACUUUUUAAAAGCAAAUUUUUAUUAAUAGUUAAGCAAAAUGUAUUUAAUAACAAGCUGAUGUCUCGACAUUCAAUUCUCACUCUCCUGCCAUCCUUCCCUUUCAUUCCUACUAAUGACCACCAGGAAUGUUCUACUAAUGAAGGAUUUUGAUUUACUUUGAUUAACAGAAAAUUCCACUCUGGUCUUAGUCCUGCUGUCUCAGAACCUCAUUCAAUUGGUUACUCUGGACACCUUGCUGAAUAUGCAAGUUUCAGUCAGAAGACCUGGACUGCAUUUGAGGAAUCUACAACUAGCCUUAUAAAAAGAAGGGAAGAUGAGAGGCCUGGAAAUACAGAUUGCCUACUUAGUAAAAGGUUGCUCAAGACCAUCAAAUGAUGCUGAAGCUCACAGCUUCCGCAUGGCAAAAGCUGCACCUGUCCAAUACUGCUGUGCAAGAACAACAAAUGCUUUGUU
Long non-coding RNA from Odocoileus virginianus texanus, 1260 nucleotides. RefSeq lists it as uncharacterized. The record is from RefSeq and is a predicted model, not a curated record. Lineage: Eukaryota; Metazoa; Chordata; Mammalia; Artiodactyla; Cervidae.